GAGGUCGCCCUUGAGGAGCGUCACGCCGGCGUCCUGGAAGCUCUUGAGCAGCGCCGCCUUGGCCGGAUUGGACGGCGCCGUGUCCCUGACGAGCGCGAAGGUCGGGUGGCCCAGCCGCGCGCUCGCCGCCACGACGUGCCUGCCCAGGUACCCGGUGGCGCCGACCACCAGGAUCUUGCUCUUCUCCGACGCCAUCCUGUGUCACUACCCGACAGAACCUCAGAAACUCGCUUGGCGUCUGAUUGGCAUCCAGCGCCACUGUAUAUAAUGGUCUGAUCGAGUAUCACAUUCACAGCUGGUUCCAUCGAUAUUUUGUUUCGUCGACUGAUGGUUGUGGUGAAGCGUGAACCUGGUUGUGUUUCCGGACUUGGACAUUAUGGGCCGAAACCUUGGUGUCGUCAUUGUUCAAGGAUGACGACAUUUGUGUUUGGCCUACUUUUUCGGAAUUGCUAUAUUGUGCCCGAGUAUCUUGCUCUCUUCCACCCACUUCAAAACUUUUCUCUUCGCCCUAUCACCAAUUCUAGCGAGAUUUUCUGUCUCCUCCGCCUCCGUUGUGUUAGCGAUAUCGGGAUAUUUUUACAACACGGUUGGAAAUCUGGGGAUGAACAAAAAUUUAUGUAAGAAGAAAUAAAAAAGAGAAAUCGGUGCAUGAAGAGAAAUUUUAAAUUACCAUUGUGGGCUUGUGGACACGGACGGGGAGUGGAUGCUCUUUUUAAACUUGGAUGUGGUUAGAGUUGGACCAAUUUUAUGCCUAAAGCAGUGGUCAUUUUUUUCAUUUCUUUCUCUCCUCUGCACUGGGAAAUUAUUCCACUAACAAAGACAACAUUGAGUAGAGUUCAUCAACAAAAAUGGCAAAAUUUGAUAAUGUUUAGUAGUCAGGCGUCUUCAACUAAGGUAACUUCCCGUCAACUGUGGCCGAGUCCAUGGUCGGCAAAAGCAAAAUUUGGCCAGAUCCGCUCAGCCUAAUUUGGAAUUCUGGAUAGAGCUUGGGGGCUAAUGAUGAGUGAUGAUAAUGAAAUAAGCGUCAAAGAAAGGUUUUAGAUUGCUCAAUUCAAGAUCAAGUUCGUACUGUCGAGUCUUAUUAGCAUACACAUCAUCCCGACGAAUUGAUCUACUUGUAUACGAGUAGGAGUUCAUAACCGACUACGACAACAAAAGUGGUUCUCGAUCGGUAUAUGUACGCAUCAUGGGGCGAUGUACGAGACACAUAAGCUUUUGGGCUUUUGGGUUGCAUCUUGACCUAAAUACCAAAUUGUUUGUGCUCACGGUAAUAGAAAAAACUCUUAUACUCAAAUCAUGAGGCCUGAACCUGUAUAAAUCGCCCGCGUGCUAUUCCGGUUCUUGACGCAUCUUAAUAUUGAUCGUGAUCUUAUAUUGACACAUCAUUCCUUGUCGACUUAGAUCACCAAUCCUUGACAAUUUAAAUUACCAAAAAUGAUGAAAAUUACAAGGUGCAUAUUGUUCUCGUCUCGUCCUUCAGAGGAACCUGUUGAGGUACUCGUCGACGGUGGUGUACUUAACGUCCGGGUACAGCUCGCUUGCGUCCACCCCCUUGGCCGGGUCGAUCUCGAAGCCGGCCUCCUCCUCCCCCUUCACGUACGCCGCGUGCCCGAUCGCCAAGAUCAUGUUCAGCGGCAUCGCCGCCUCUUCAGCUGAAUGAAAUGAAUUGCAUAUUUUAAUUAACCACGCAUCCACAGUGAUAUAGAUUCAGAUGUUAUCCCCCGACAGUCCGACACCAUGAUCGAUCGAGCCAACAAGGCACUGACCUUCUUGGGUCUGCUUGAGCACGGCGUCCACGGGGAUGUACUCCCGCUGCAACGCCUUGCCGGUCUUCUUCUCCCACAGCGACAGAAGCUCGUCGCGCGACAGCGUGUUGGCCGGCGGCCUGAUGUGCAGCGUCUUGUUCUCGGCGCGCGGGUUGCCGGCGGCCAGCACCGUGUUCGUCGCGAUGUCCCCCUCGUCCACGAACGGCACUCUGGUGUCGCCGUCGCCGAGGAUGACGGCCUUGUCCUCUCCCUGCCCGAUCCCGAUGGAGGGGAGCGCGAGGGCUGCCAAGUACCCGGCGACGGCGUAGGUGUAGGGGAUGCCCACGGCCUCGGUGGCGCGGCGGACGGCGGCCUUGCCGGACAAGAGGGACUUGUGCGGCUCCACGUCCACGACGCCCGUCCGCGCCACGUCCAGGCCGAACUCCGCCGGGUCCUCAGGGGUGUUUGGAUACACCACCUAAAGUUUAGCAUGUGUCACAUCGGAUCUUUGGAUAGUAAUUAUGAGUAUUAAACAUAGUUUAAUUAUAAAACUAAUUGCACAGAUGGAGUCUAAUUCGCGAUAUGAAUCUAUUAAGGGCCUGUUUGGACGCGAGGUCAUAAAGUUUAUGACAUGUCACAUCGGAUGUUUAGAUACUGAUUAGAAGUAUUAAAUAUAAUCUAAUUACAAAACUAAUUACACAUAUGGAGUCUAAUUUGCGAGACGAAUCUAUUAAGCCUAAUUAGUCCAUGAUUUGACAAUGUGGUGCUACAGUAACCAUUUGCUAAUGAUGGAUUAAUUAGGCUUAAUAGAUUCGUCUCGCGAAUUAGUUUUAUAAUUAGCUCAUGUUUAGUCCUCCUAAUUAGCGUCCGAACAUCCGAUGUGACCCCUCCUAAAGUUUAGUACCUUGUAUCCAAACACCCCCUAAGCCUAAUUGGUCCAUGAUUUGACAAUAUGGUGCUAUAAUAACCAUUUGCUAAUGAUGGAUUAAUUAGGCUUAAUAGAUUCGUCUCACGAAUUAGCUCAGUAGUUCUGCAAUUAGUUUUAUAAUUAGCUCACAUUUAGUCCUCCUAAUUAGCAUCCGAACAUCCUAUGUGCUAAAGUUUAGCACCUAGUAUCUAAAUAUCACUCUUAGAGAUAAGUAUCCUAGGUUGUUUACGAACAGAAGUUAAGUAAGAAUGGAUUCUAUCCAUAAGGAUCCAAUCCGAGUUGUCUUAGUCAUGAAGUCAAAGAUUCCCGAUAUAAUUGAGGGAUAUGGACUCAUUGAAAAUAAAAAAGAAAGCAAUUAUAUUUCCCUCGAUCACUCUCCCUUUGUUCAAGCGCUGCAACCCCCCCCCCCCCCCCCCCCCCCCAACACACACACACACACCCACACACCACAAACUAGGACUGUAACAUGGUGGAGGAGCGAGCGUCGAUAAGUGGCGCGAGCAAGAGAUGGUGGCAGGCGGUGAUAGGGUUCACAGAGGAGGAAAAAGGCUGCACGCAAGAUCAGACGGCUAAUCUCAAAUAUCGGAAGUCUCUCUUCUUCUGGAAGAUCAUAGGAUCCGGAAGCCGACCGAUCAACCAGGAGAUUACUUAACAAAUGGACCGUCCAUUACAAAAGUCGUGGUACAUACCAAUGCAACAAACUGGAUCACGAAAGGGAUCGGAUCUUAUUGGCGUGGAAUUGACGGGACCUGGCCAGUGCAGGUACCCUCGAUCGAUCAGAGACACAUGGUACUAUCGCGCAUGCUGUGCUUCAGCAGUACAGGUGACAGUAGGCAAAGCACCAACAACCAACCACACGUCACGCGCGCCGUCUUCUUCAAAGGAACCUGUUGAGGUACUCAUCGACGGUGGUGUACUUGACGUCGGGGUACAGCUCGCUUGCGUCCACCCCCUUCGCCGGAUCGAUCUCGAAGCCUGCCUGCUCCCCCCUCACGUACGCCGCGUGCCCGAUCGCCAGGAUGAUGUUCAGCGGCAUCGGCGACUCUGCACCAGAAAGAAACAAUUGUUAACCACGCCAUCGAUUCCACGAUGAUCGAUCGAGGCAGCAAGGCACGUUCUGACCUUGGAUCUGCUUGAGCACGGCUUCCUCGGGGAUGUACACGCGCUCGAACGUCUUGCCGGUCUUCUUCUCCCACAGGUCCACGAGCUCGUUGUGCGACAGCGUGUUGGCCGGCGGCUUGAUGUACAGCGUCUUGUUCUCGGCGCGGGGGUCGUCGGCGGCGAGCACCGUGUACGUCCCGAUGUCGCCUUCCUCCACGAACACGGCCUUGGCGUUGCCGUCGCCGAGGAUGAGCACCUUGUCGGCGGGGGGUCCCUGGGCGAGCAGCUGCCCGACGCUGGGCAGCGCGUAUCCCGCGAAGUACCCGGCCACGGCGAAGGUGUAGGGGAUGCCGGACGCCUCGGUGGCGCGCCGGAUCGCCACCUUGCCGGACAGGAUGGUCUUGCCCGGCUCCACGAUGCCCGUUCUGUCCACGUCCAGCCCGAACUCCGACGGGAAGAACCUCUGCAUAUCCAUCUCAUUUAGCUUUUUAUCUAGUGACAACGAGCAUGCCGGAAGAAAGACAUUGAUGGCGGCAUUCAUGAGAAGGCGCUCAAGCAAGAACAAAUUAAAGAAAAAGGAAGGACCUUGACAUUGCCGGCCUCCUUGAUGGCGUCGAUGAGCCUGGUCUGGUCGGCGAUCUGCAUCGACCCCAGCGUGGAGAUGACCACGUCGGCGGCCUUGACGGCGCUCACCAGGCUGGCCUGGUCGUAGAGGUCGCCCUUGAGGAGCGUCACGCCGGCGUCCUGGAAGCUCUUGAUCAGCGCCGCCUUGGCCGGGUCGGACGGCGCCGUGUCCCUGACGAGCGCGAGGGUCGGGUGGCCCAGCCGCGCGCUCGCCGCGACGACGUGCCGGCCCAGGUACCCGGUGGCGCCGACCACCAGGAUCUUGCUCUUCUCCGACGCCAUCCUGAUUGCUACUUACUGACGAGUGAGCUUGCUAUCAACGAGCUGAUCGGCCUGCCAAGUACUCGCUCAGUCUGCGCUGCAAAUCUCGUC
This 4770-nucleotide long non-coding RNA is filed under the name Setaria viridis. RNAcentral's name for it is "long non-coding RNA (SVIR_LNC005198)". The record is from RNAcentral. Lineage: Eukaryota; Viridiplantae; Streptophyta; Magnoliopsida; Poales; Poaceae.